CAGUCGCCGCGGGAAUACGGAGGGGGCUAGCGUUGUUCGGAAUUACUGGGCGUAAAGCGCACGUAGGCGGCUUGGUAAGUUAGAGGUGAAAGCCUGGAGCUCAACUCCAGAAUUGCCUUUAAGACUGCCGAGCUAGCAGGUGAGAGAGGUAAGUGGAAUUCCGAGUGUAGAGGUGAAAUUCGUAGAUAUUCGGAAGAACACCAGUGGCGAAGGCGGCUUACUGGCUCAUACUGGACGCUGAGGUGCGAAAGCGUGGGGAGCAAACAGGAUUAGAUACCCCGUAGUCCCUGUCUCUUAUACA
This 301-nucleotide ribosomal RNA is filed under the name uncultured bacterium. RNAcentral's name for it is "partial 16S ribosomal RNA". It matches the Rfam family "Bacterial small subunit ribosomal RNA", at positions 509 to 808 of the family's 1533-position model. The record is from RNAcentral.